UUGACAUGCUUGUUUUUUGUUUCCACGUCUAGAGUUUCUCCAGACAUUCACCUGGCCUAUAAACAUCUUGAUUUAGAAAUGUUAAGGAUAUCAUCAAACACAUGGACUAGACUUUCGCCAAGACCUCAUGGUGGCCAGUUUGUUCAGUAACAUACGUGAAUAUAGUAAACUAAAAAUAUGAUAGGGCAUGCUUGCUAAGAUGCACGUGUUCAUUCACUGUAAAAGAUGGUGUGUGCAUUUAUUAUGUUGGAGUAUUUACUACUGUGCUUAACCACACAUUAUUCUCAGGCUAAGAUUGGAUUGGCCACAUACCUUCGGACCUACCGGUGGAGGCAGUAUUCAACGACCUGCUCCGAUGCGUUAGUAGAGGACGUGGAUCCUAUUAUUCUUUCGGGUCAAGUUGACACUAACAGACGUCCGAACUGGUAUUUGGGCAGCCAUGUUGGCUUUUGUGUGAGAAACGUGACAUCCUGCAAAAUGGUGUGCUAUUUCAAUCUGAACGAGUUGCCCUGUGGGCGUAAGGAAGAAGGCAGUAACGUGUGCUACUGCCUGAGAAAUCUCACUGGGGUCUUAAAAGUCUUCCUUGAAAGCGCGUCGAAAAGAAAAAUGGUGAAUCAAUAUUAUUGUCUCUUCUGGGGCUCCCCGGAGAUAGAGCAAAGCAAUGGAAUUAAGAUAUCAGCAAAUAUCAUAGCCAGAGAUAGUGAGGAGUAUAAAGAGUGUCAAAAGAGUGAAAGAAACAUAGACACAUCCAGAAAUGGAGUGUCUGGACCAGUUUCUGUAAUGAAACCAGGCCACAUUUUAGCACCACUGAUUGCUUUCUGGCUCUUGAAACAUACCGCAGAAACUGCUUGGAAAUAAAGUCUGAAAUAGAAGAUUGGCGACACACAAACAUACCGCAGAAACUGCUUGGAAAUAAAGUCUGAAAUAGAACAUUGGCGACACACAAACAUACCGUAGAAACUGAUUGGAUCUAACGUGUGUGAUAGAACAUUGGCGACACACAAACACACCACAAAAACUAUUUGGAUCUAACGUUUUUGAUAGAACUUUGGCGACUCACAAAAAUACCCUUGUAUGAAUCUUUGAAAAGAAUUUUUGAAUGUAUAUAUAUAUAUAUAUAUAUAUAUGAGCUUUUGUUUAUAAAUGUGCAAAUUUACUAAACCACCAUUUUUUUCACCAAAAACGUAGAGUUUACAUUUGCUUUUCGACACUAUUUAUAUACAUAUAUACUGAUAGCAUGACACACCCGCUACGCCUGUUGAUGUGUUCCCACUGCCGGAACCUCCCAACCUUUUUGUUUUUUUUGUGCCACGUCUGAACGUUUUCCCUGGAUAAUUGUAUCUGUUACAACAAAACGAAACAGACCCCUCACUUUUCUUCUCUCUCUCUCUAGAACCUCCAUUUUUUAAUUAUUUUUUUUUCAACCAUCGCAUUUCAUUUUUUUCCACAAACUUUUGAAUUGAUUUGGGAUAUACAUCCGAGAAAAAUAAAAAAAUAAAGAUCUUUAUUUUUUUUAUAGCAGUGUUUCUCAACUUUGGGGGAAAAGGAGCAGUUAAUUACGUUGGACCCCUAACUCCAAGCGUUUUCUUGCAUUCUUAACUGCAGAAAUGCAUUUUCCUGACAUCUACAGCUCAUAAUUCAUCCUAUUAAAAACAAAGAAAGUUCAAAUUAAAUUAAAUAAAGUGUGGGCAAGGGCCGAUACUAAAAAAUGAGUCACAAUCUAGGCACAAGUAACGUAAGUAUAGCUUUAUAAGGUGUAAUUAUCGUAAUAUUAUAUUUGUAAUAAGCGAGACCUUUUGUACUAGGCAUAGUUUGGUCAGACAAAAAGGCCAACUGAUUGAUGGUGAAACGCUCUCUGGAUAUUUGUCCGUUCUGACCGUCACGAAAUGCCUAAUUUUUAAUAAUCUUUUGAAUAAUGUUUUGCUUUAAAAAAAAUUCUAAUUUGAAUUUAUAGAACCUAACUACAUUGUAAGUUCAAACGAUUCGUUCCUUGAAAGGAAAAUAGUUUACUUUGAUUUAGGCUUUGAUGGUGGCAGCCAAAAAUUAACAAAAAAAUAUCUUCCAAAAAUAAUAUUUGAAAAAGAGGUUCAUUUAUAAGUGAUCAAAUGUUGUUCAAUACGCCUGAUUUUAGCUUCGUUUUGUUACAGUCAAUAUGAAGUCAACCAAUUAGAUUCUACUCUAAAUUUUUAUUUUAUUUUUUAGGAUUCAUGUAUCAAUUGGGAGUUACAGUCUCAAAAUUAUUAAUGCAAUAAAAAUAUCUCAGAUUGAGUAAAGGUCGGGAAAAUGAGACUGGGAAAAAUAUUUUAUAAAUAUUGCUAAUAAUUGCAUUUAAAAUUAAAGAAUAUGCGGCGACUCAAUAUUUAAUUUAAUAUAUAGCAUAGAAAACUUGUAUUACUGAAAGAUUGUUUGUAAAGAAAAAAAAUAAUUGUUCAAUAAAAUACAAAAGUAAGCCGUCUGCUGCCUCUACAUCGUUUCGGGUUCAUUUCAAUUCAUUGAGUUGUUUCAUCAAAGUACUCCAGCCGUAGGAAAGAUGGUCAUUAAGAAGAUGUGCUGGCCGACAUUCGACUGUGACUUGUUCUUUUUCACUGGUACCGGUCACACUCUUGCAUUUUUUAUUAACUAAAGAUUUAAAUUUGAGAUUAGACUGCGGUGUGACAUAUUAUAUCAAAUGAGUUCAAUUAUCAAUACGUAGCUAAUUAUAUAAAUAUUCAAUUAAUUAUGUUCGCAAACUAUGAUUUCUGCAUACAAAUUUGACCGCCCCCAACUUAAAGGGUUAGGUUGGGGAGAGCAGAAGAUGCGAUCGCCCCCCUCCACCCACCCCUCCGAAUCGGCCAACAUACUAGAGGGGGCUGCAAAAUAAACAAAUUUUUUAAAAUUUCAAUAAAUAGUAUAUAUUAUUAACAUAAGUAAAGAAUUUAUAUACAGAUUGCGUGAUUUCUCUACUAAAAUUCACCCCCCAACAAGGGGAGGGCAGGCGAGUUGAUGGGACAUCCCCCCUACCGUCUCCCCCCCCCUCCACACCAUUAGAUCUGCCAGUGUCUCUCAGUGUCCUAGAGUCUCUUCUUCUAAUCUUUCCAUUUUGUCCUUGUCUUGUUGAAAGAAACAACAUGGCUGUCAGUACCGUUCUUUACACGCACAUUUCAAGUUCCUCCAAGCAAGUGGUGACUGAAUGUGAGCUCUGCCGCGCUUUAGAUGUUUUUCAGAUAUUUUUAAAGUGGAAAACAGAGCGAUUCUUUUACAUUUGAUUGCUUUAGACAAUCAAAACAAAAACAUGGCUUGAAUAUUUCUUGUGAAUAGGCGAAUCAGGUGGGGACCGACUCUUCGGUUUGUGUUAUCACACAUUUUGUAAUGUAAUGUUUCUUUUUUCUUUUCUUCCAGUAUUCCCGUAGUAUUUUUUUACGAAAAAAUAAUAAGUGUUACCAGUGGUUAAUAAACAAAAUGUAAUUCUUUUUUUUUUUAGUAUUACACAAGACUUAGUAGCUCUUUUUAUUUGCUCUUGCAAACAGGAUAUAAAGAAAUUCCUUUCUAGCUAAAAAGAGAGAAUAAAGCAUGUAACCUUGACAUGUAAAAAUUAAGGAUGUUAAUAACUUCUCAAUUUCCCUAGGUAAAUAUAAAGCUAUGUUUGGAAAGCCCUGCCAUGACAUAAGCAACAAUGUCACGUAUAUGUCACAGACAUAACUGUCAGGAUGAACAGACAUAGAAGUCAGGAGAAUGUAUUUAGACGCAUAGCUGUCGAAGAAGAAGGAGCUCAAGUAAAAGAUUAAGAGAAGUCAUCUGAAUGUGUUCUGAUAGAGACACAGUGAACACUACACAGUAGAGACACAGUGAAUAUUACACACAGGAGACACAGUGAAUAUUACACACAGGAGACACAGUGAAUAUUACACACAGGAGACACAGUGAACACUACACAGAGGAGACACAGUGAACACUACACAGUCAACUAUGAAGCUACCACUGCUCUUGUUGAUCAUUGUCUGUCUUGGGGUGAUUGGCUCAAGGGCUGAGAGUCCCUAUAUUGGCGAAUGCAGGUCGACAGAAAAGAAAUGCUCCAGUUGGAACAUCUGGGGACCGAGCCUUCUGUGGAAGACUUGUGAUGGUCGCUGCAAACAGUUGACGUUCAAUCGAGGAGUCUGUGAAGUAUCUCCAGUCAACUGCCCACUAAGUAGCCACCCCUACCAGUGUCACUGUUAUUUGAACUCGCGGUGAGAGUGCGCGAGAGAGAGAGAGAGAGAGAUGGGUUAGCCAAUGUGUUCUAACAGACAUUUGCUAUGUAGAAUUGUAUAUCUUUAUAUACGACGUUUCUGAUAUGUAUUUUCACUAUAGACAUUUACAUUUUCAUUGUUCUCUAGAUUAAAAUGUUGUACAAUAAAGAUACAUUUUAUAAAACCAAA
Molecule: RNA transcript, 4394 nt
Organism: Biomphalaria glabrata
Lineage: Eukaryota; Metazoa; Mollusca; Gastropoda; Planorbidae
Exons: 10
Source: RefSeq, a predicted model, not a curated record